ACAGCAGCAGCCACGGGAAUACGUAGGUGGCAAGCGUUGUCCGGAAUUAUUGGGCGUAAAGCGCGCGCGGGCGGAUAGGUCAGUCUGUCUUAAAAGUUCGGGGCUUAACCCCGUGAUGAGAUGGAAACUGCUGAUCUAGAGUAUCGGAGAGGAAAGUGGAAUUCCUAGUGUAGCGGUGAAAUGCGUAGAUAUUAGGAAGAACACCAGUGGCGAAGGCGACUUUCUGGACGAAAACUGACGCUGAGGCGCGAAAGCCAGGGGAGCGAACGGGAUUAGAUACCCGGGUAGUCCCUGUCUCUUAUACA
Molecule: ribosomal RNA, 305 nt
Filed under: uncultured bacterium
Lineage: Bacteria
Description: partial 16S ribosomal RNA
Rfam family: Bacterial small subunit ribosomal RNA
Source: RNAcentral